CCUCCGUUGUUUCACAAUGUAAGUCAUUCUAGCAUUUCCCACAUUCAUAUUGAUGUUAAUGAAUCUAUAUAUAAUGUGGGAAAUGCUAGAAUGACUUACAUUGUGAAACGGAGAGAGUAU
RNAcentral lists this unclassified non-coding RNA (120 nucleotides) under Oryza sativa (Asian cultivated rice). Its description in RNAcentral is "partial microRNA MIR472a-10-as precursor". The record is from RNAcentral. Lineage: Eukaryota; Viridiplantae; Streptophyta; Magnoliopsida; Poales; Poaceae.